Molecule: long non-coding RNA, 1123 nt
Organism: Triplophysa rosa
Lineage: Eukaryota; Metazoa; Chordata; Actinopteri; Cypriniformes; Nemacheilidae
Exons: 3
Source: RefSeq, a predicted model, not a curated record
UACACGCUCGACUCCUGGUGCAUCAUUGGUUACGGUCAGGUAAACGUAUCUGACAUUUGAGUCAGCUGGUUUCUUUGCAUUGUGUCUGCAUUCCUCCAUCUGAGCAAUGAUUAACCGGCAGCGUGGGAAGAUAUGCUUUUCUACCUUUCGUCCUCCUGACUCAGAAAACUUUUUCACGCCACUAGUUAUGAAGCGGAAAAGACUUGUUUGUGUGGCUGAGUGGGUGUGCGUUCACAUAUGUCUUACCACCGACACCAAGAAACUCUGAAAACGUUCACAGCUUUGCACGUUGGCGGUGUAUCCUGUGUUUCUAAAAGAGACAUGAAGACAAAACGGAGUCCCCGCAUUUCCUUUUGUGAAGUUAAAAGUCUUGCUUUAGGCAAUCAACCAGUCAGUAUCCUAAAUAAAGUCUUCACAGAUCGUGACAAAGCCAGAAAUUAGGUUUUCCUACAGUAUUCCCUACCGAAAAUAACAUGGUUUUUAGUCGUUUUAGUGUUUUUAGUCUGUUGUCUUGAUUAAUUGGAAGCAUGUCUGGUUUAUGUAUCUGGGUUAAAUGAACCAAUACCUUUUUUGGAAUAUAAUUUUCUUCAUCUACUGUAUUUAAAGACAUUGGUGGUCUAUGUUCCUGUUUCUACAAACUGUUAACCAUGUGAUAUGUUGCUGCCAUCAUCGUCUGGUAGCUUCCUGCAUCGACAUCGAUGUUGACGCACUAAUUACAUGCAGAUCUUUGUCUGCAUGAGAGAUUUAAGAUGCUGUAUUCCUCUGCGGGGUUGCCUUAGGCAUAUAUCUAUAGUGUGUGCACGAAUGAGAUUAUGUGUGUCCAGAGGGAUAGGCUUGCAAGCAAAAGUCUGCAUGCAUGCACAUUUUCGAUCAGCGUGCUCUCUGUGGCUGUUGCACAUAUUGAUCUCUGCUGUGCAUACACAAUGAAUGGUACACCCCCAACCCAUUAAGCAGGAGCGCAGAUUUCUCACAAAUUUGAGAUCUGAAUCUUGCCAAGAGCCUACCAGAACAUAAUUGUCUUUGUUUAUGACAUCACUGCACAUGUACAUACUUGUAUAUCCACAUUCUACUUUUUUGAAAAUAUUGCAGAAUAAUUGCAAAUGUGCUGUAUGCAAACAAUGUU